CCUGUUGUGGGGGAUAACUAGUCGAAAGAUUAGCUAAUACCGCAUACGACCUGAGGGUGAAAGUGGGGGACCGCAAGGCCUCACGCAGCAGGAGCGGCCGAUGUCUGAUUAGCUAGUUGGUGGGGUAAAGGCCCACCAAGGCGACGAUCAGUAGCUGGUCUGAGAGGACGAUCAGCCACACUGGGACUGAGACACGGCCCAGACUCCUACGGGAGGCAGCAGUGGGGAAUUUUGGACAAUGGGGGCAACCCUGAUCCAGCAAUGCCGCGUGUGUGAAGAAGGCCUUCGGGUUGUAAAGCACUUUUGUCCGGAAAGAAAUCGCGCUGGUUAAUACCUGGCGUGGAUGACGGUACCGGAAGAAUAA
RNAcentral lists this ribosomal RNA (364 nucleotides) under uncultured bacterium. RNAcentral's name for it is "bacterial SSU rRNA". It matches the Rfam family "Bacterial small subunit ribosomal RNA", at positions 130 to 489 of the family's 1533-position model. The record is from RNAcentral.